GAAAAUGGAAAGUGCUCUCUCUUUGUUGAUUAAUUCAUUUAACAGAAUAGCCACGUGCAUCAAUCAACAAAUUUUACCACACACGUGAGGUUACACGUUAUGAAGUAGUAUAUAUCGUUUUAACGUUGUUAACUACGAAACUCCAGUAGAGUUGGCUAUUUAUAGAUAAAAGUUACCUGUGUACCAAUAUCAUGAAUAUGCAUGAAUAAUGACCAGGCAAAAUCUAAUUGCUAAAAUAGAGAAGACAAAUCCGAUACUCUACGGGAUUGAAG
RNAcentral lists this long non-coding RNA (272 nucleotides) under Mytilus galloprovincialis (Mediterranean mussel). The record is from RNAcentral. Lineage: Eukaryota; Metazoa; Mollusca; Bivalvia; Mytilida; Mytilidae.